This 682-nucleotide long non-coding RNA is filed under the name Homo sapiens (human). Its description in RNAcentral is "non-protein coding lnc-PTPN12-2:1". The record is from RNAcentral. Lineage: Eukaryota; Metazoa; Chordata; Mammalia; Primates; Hominidae.
GUUCAGGCUGACCUCAACUGCAUGAAGGACCUCUACACAAUGAGUACAGACUAGGGUACUUGAUGAAUCUUUAUGGUAUGGAUUUUGCUAUUCAAACCAACCUGGAAAUUUUCAGGAAGCUCAAGUCAUUAAUGGGUGGAAACAACCUGGAAACUGAGACGAUGCUAGUCAAUAAGGAAGAAAAGUGGAAAAGAGGGCAUGCAGUUAUUAGUGGAAAGCUGACAAACAUGGGGACUGUCAAAAUGUGUCCUCCACUCGAAACAUCUCUUUUUUCAGGCAGUGCCUAUUUUGUGGUCAGUAGGGAGGACGUGGGGUAUAUGCUAGAGAAUGAAAAAAAUUUAAAAGUUUAUGGAGUAGGCCCAAGACACAUACAGCAAGUAUCUCUAGGCCACUGUUCAAAGGAUUCCCGAAGUCCCCAGCUCACUCUCCUUAAGCCGUAAGUAUGACUCUUCUGACAUGCAUGCAGCUUCUAGGUUUGUCAGGUGGCAGCACUUUGAAGCACUCUUUACCCACCUGCAGUAGGGCCCAUGUGCGCUCAGUGUGCCUUUUCGGAGCUGGCACCUUGAACUGGACACUGUGCAAGCACCAUUUGUUUGCCAAUAAGCCUGACACGGGUGGUGACCUCUUUGCCAUCCAGUGUUUAGAUGAGCAUCUGAGACAUACUUUGGAGACUUUAAAACAC